This is a long non-coding RNA of Diceros bicornis minor, 375 nucleotides long. RefSeq lists it as uncharacterized. NCBI's taxonomy places the organism in Eukaryota, Metazoa, Chordata, Mammalia, Perissodactyla, Rhinocerotidae. The transcript is spliced from 3 exons. The record is from RefSeq and is a predicted model, not a curated record.
CCGCUCAGCAUUGUAGGUGACAUGCUUGUCAUAGUUCUCCAUCUGAGCCUCAAUGAAAUCUCUCUGCUGCUGCCUGAUGGUCUGGCUUAUGAGCCCAGGGAGGGCGUGGAUGCUACCAAUCAAAGUCUCUAAUUUUGUUUCCAAGGAGUGAUGUAAGAGCCUGCCCCAUCUUUGUUCAUGACAUUCAAGCCUCAUAUAUGUGUGCUGUCCAGCUUAAAUGUAUGCUAUAUGGUCUCCUAGGGGUAGAUUACACUGACAGAAAGGGACACAAACACGAUCCUGGAGGAAAUGGGAUGUGUGGUUGCUGGACAGAUGGACUGACCUCACUCACUUCCACGCCAUCUCACACCCUUCACCCCCUUGGACACCAUACCU